This 118-nucleotide microRNA precursor is filed under the name Erinaceus europaeus (western European hedgehog). RNAcentral's name for it is "miRNA (ENSEEUG00000019520.1)". The stretch from base 31 to 107 matches the Rfam family "mir-1 microRNA precursor family". Rfam says of the family: This family represents the microRNA (miRNA) mir-1 family. miRNAs are transcribed as ~70nt precursors (modelled here) and subsequently processed by the Dicer enzyme to give a ~22nt product. The record is from RNAcentral. Lineage: Eukaryota; Metazoa; Chordata; Mammalia; Eulipotyphla; Erinaceidae.
CUGCAGUUCCCUCUUGGUGGUCUGUUGCCUACCAAAAAUACAUACUUCUUUACAUUCCAUAGCACUGUAUGUUCAUAUGGGUACAUAAAGAAGUAUGUACUCUGAGUAGGCUACAACU